CCUACGGGGUGCUGCCGUGAGGAAUAUUGGUCAAUGGGCGCGAGCCUGAACCAGCCAAGUAGCGUGAAGGAUGACUGCCCUACGGGUUGUAAACUUCUUUUAUAAAGGAAUAAAGUGAGGCGCGUGUGCCUUUUUGUAUGUACUUUAUGAAUAAGGAUCGGCUAACUCCGUGCCAGCAGCCGCGGUAAUACGGAGGAUCCGAGCGUUAUCCGGAUUUAUUGGGUUUAAAGGGAGCGUAGAUGGGUUGUUAAGUCAGGUGUGAAAGUUUGCGGCUCAACCGUAAAAUUGCAAUUGAUACUGGCAGCCUUGAGUACAGUUGAGGGAGGCGGAAUUCGUGGUGUAGCGGUGAAAUGCGUAGAUAUCAUGAAGAACUCCGAUUGCGAAGGCAGCUUACUAAACGGCCACUGACAUUGAUGCUCGAAAGUGUGGGUAGCAAACAGGAUUAGAUACCCGGGUAGUC
This 460-nucleotide ribosomal RNA is filed under the name uncultured bacterium. RNAcentral's name for it is "partial 16S ribosomal RNA". It matches the Rfam family "Bacterial small subunit ribosomal RNA", at positions 338 to 795 of the family's 1533-position model. The record is from RNAcentral.